This is a long non-coding RNA of Biomphalaria glabrata, 311 nucleotides long. RefSeq lists it as uncharacterized. The transcript is spliced from 3 exons. Lineage: Eukaryota; Metazoa; Mollusca; Gastropoda; Planorbidae. The record is from RefSeq and is a predicted model, not a curated record.
GAAGCGUCACGUUUUUUGGGCGCGAACGUUACAUACGAUACUUUGACUGUGGGAACAGCGUUAAUUUCUUUGAAAUGGUUUUACACAACUUUUGGGCGUGGCAUCGUCGGAAGCUAUGAUCACGUGAUGUUGUUCACUGGUUAUAACUUGACUAAUAAUGUUGGUAAAGGACAAACCACAGAUAUUUUUGGGGGCUCUAAUGGUGGAGCAAUGUGUGAAACAGACGGGCAAAGCUGCUCUGUAAUAGAAGAUCGCGACGGCUACAGUACUUCUACUAUUGAUACGGUAGCACAUGAAUUGGCGCACGGCCU